RNAcentral lists this ribosomal RNA (497 nucleotides) under uncultured bacterium. RNAcentral's name for it is "partial 16S ribosomal RNA". It matches the Rfam family "Bacterial small subunit ribosomal RNA", at positions 28 to 507 of the family's 1533-position model. The record is from RNAcentral.
GAUGAACGCUGGCGGCGUGCCUAAUACAUGCAAGUCGAGCGAACGGACGAGAAGCUUGCUUCUCUGAUGUUAGCGGCGGACGGGUGAGUAACACGUGGAUAACCUACCUCUAUUACUGGGAUAACUUCGGGAAACCGGAGAUAAUACCAGAUAAUAUUUUGAACCGCAUGGUUCAAAAGAGAAAGACGGUCUUGCUGUUACUUAUAGCUGGAUCCGCGCUGCAUUAGCUAGUUGGUAAGGUAACGGCUUACCAAGGCGACGAUGCAUAGCCGACCUGAGAGGAUGAUCGGCCACACUGGAACUGAGACACGGUCCAGACUCCUACGGGAGGCAGCAGUAGGGAAUCUUCGGCAAUGGGCGAAAGCCUGACGGAGCAACGCCGCGUGAGUGAUGAAGGCCUUCGGAUCGUAAAACUCUGUUAUUAGGGAAGAACAGAUGUGUAAGUAACUGUGCACAUCUUGACGGUACCUAAUCAGAAAGCCACGGCUAACUACGUG